GAUGAACGCUGGCGGCGUGCCUAAUACAUGCAAGUCGAGCGAACGGACGAGAAGCUUGCUUCUCUGAUGUUAGCGGCGGACGGGUGAGUAACACGUGGAUAACCUACCUAUGAGACUGGGAUAACUUCGGGAAACCUGAGCUAAUACCGGAUAAUAUUUUGAACCGCAUGGUUCAAAAGUGAAAGACGGUCUUGCUGUCACUUAUAGAUGGAUCCGCGCUGCAUUAGCUAGUUGGUAAGGUAACGGCUUACUAAGGCAACGAUGCAUAGCCGACCUGAGAGGGUGAUCGGCCACACUGGAACUGAGACACGGUCCAGACUCCUACGGGAGGCAGCAGUAGGGAAUCUUCCGCAAUGGGCGAAAGCCUGACGGAGCAACGCCGCGUGAGUGAUGAAGGUCUUCGGAUCGUAAAACUCUGUUAUUAGGGAAGAACAUAUGUGUAAGUAACUGUGCACAUCUUGACGGUACCUAAUCAGAAAGCCACGGCUAACUACGUG
Molecule: ribosomal RNA, 497 nt
Filed under: uncultured bacterium
Lineage: Bacteria
Description: partial 16S ribosomal RNA
Rfam family: Bacterial small subunit ribosomal RNA
Source: RNAcentral